RNAcentral lists this long non-coding RNA (685 nucleotides) under Zostera marina. RNAcentral describes it as "long non-coding RNA (ZMAR_LNC001889)". The record is from RNAcentral. Lineage: Eukaryota; Viridiplantae; Streptophyta; Magnoliopsida; Alismatales; Zosteraceae.
CCCCGUGUGGAUGCCGACAUCGAUUUCGAGCUCCAAUCGACAGACAAUAAUUUUCAGAAAAAGGUUUAUUAUUUUUUAGGUUAGUUACAGGAACCGACCUCAGAUCUCGCCCUUUGUUUUUACAAUACACAGGCUGAUUUUUUUUUUUUGUGGUUUUCACACGGGGUGAUAUUGGAAAUGGAUAUUGGAAAUUCGUAUUCGUUUAGGUUUAAUUGAAUUCGUAUUCGUUUAGGUUUAAUUGAAUUCGAAUAUUUCUAAACGAAUUCGGAUAAUUGAAUAAAUAUAUAGGGCAUACCUGUCUUGUGAGGUACAUGUGACGGACACCAUAUCCGACCGUUCAAUUCCUACGCGAAGCUCGACCGUUCGUCGAGGGUGUCUGAUGUGACCUACUUGUCCGUCGCGGGUGUCAGAAUCACCACGAUCGGCGAUCGCGAGAUGACAGUUGCGGUUCCACAUGACUUGACGAUAUCCAUACGCGGGUGUCACCGGACAGGCAGGAGGUCGUAGGCAACCCAUACCUCUAUAGCUAGACAGCUCCUAGCCAAGUGGAUGUGUGUGCUAUUUUGGAUGUCCGACGGGAACGACACACACCAUGGCUGACGAACGACCGAUCGCAAUUUGACGGCAUCCAUCACACGUACCGUUCGACAUCCGGUGAGGACAGAUAUCGUGCCUGAUAUUUUCU